Molecule: ribosomal RNA, 447 nt
Filed under: uncultured bacterium
Lineage: Bacteria
Description: bacterial SSU rRNA
Rfam family: Bacterial small subunit ribosomal RNA
Source: RNAcentral
UCCCAGACUCCUACGGGAGGCAGCAGUGGGGAAUAUUGCACAAUGGGGGAAACCCUGAUGCAGCGACGCCGCGUGAGCGAUGAAGUAUUUCGGUAUGUAAAGCUCUAUCAGCAGGGAAGAAGAUGACGGUACCUGACUAAGAAGCCCCGGCUAACUACGUGCCAGCAGCCGCGGUAAUACGUAGGGGGCAAGCGUUAUCCGGAUUUACUGGGUGUAAAGGGCGUGUAGCCGGGCUGACAAGUCAGAUGUGAAAUUCCGGGGCUCAACCCCGGACCUGCAUUUGAAACUGUUGGUCUUGAGUAUCGGAGAGGCAGGCGGAAUUCCUAGUGUAGCGGUGAAAUGCGUAGAUAUUAGGAGGAACACCAGUGGCGAAGGCGUCUUACUGGACCGAAACUGACGUUGAGGCUCGAAAGCGUGGGGAGCAAACAGGAUUAGAUACCCCCGUAU